This 305-nucleotide ribosomal RNA is filed under the name uncultured bacterium. RNAcentral describes it as "bacterial SSU rRNA". It matches the Rfam family "Bacterial small subunit ribosomal RNA", at positions 332 to 637 of the family's 1533-position model. The record is from RNAcentral.
CGAACCUACGGGGCGCAGCAGUGAGGAAUAUUGGUCAAUGGACGCAAGUCUGAACCAGCCAUGCCGCGUGCAGGAAGACGGCUCUAUGAGUUGUAAACUGCUUUUGUACGAGGGUAAACGCAGAUACGCGUAUCUGUCUGAAAGUAUCGUACGAAUAAGGAUCGGCUAACUCCGUGCCAGCAGCCGCGGUAAUACGGAGGAUUCAAGCGUUAUCCGGAUUUAUUGGGUUUAAAGGGUGCGCAGGCGGAGGUGCAAGUCAGCGGUCAAAUUGCGGGGCUCAACCCCGUACUGCCGUUGAAACUGCA